GGGCGAGUUUUCAGAUUCGAUUGCGGGUAGAGAAUGAGAAAAGCAUACCAAAGGCUCGGCUUUGUAAAAACGGAACUUAAAUUUAAAUGCAGAAUCCAACGAUUCAAAAGUUGUAGCUUUCCCCUCGUUCAGAGCGGCAAGCUGCGCUUGCGCUGCUUAACUAAUUAAGCGGUCCGUCUCCGUCCGUUCGCCGUUGGCGUACGGCAGGCGUUAAUUAAACGGCAACCCUGUGCGCGUUUUACCGCGCGUGCGCUGUGGUAAUUUAGCGGUAUGCGUCCGCCUGUGCCCGUCCGUCGGCACAGCGGCCCAAGUUAAAGGCGGAAUAAGUAUGUAGAAAGCUCAAACAAAAUCCGUAAGACUCGGGUGCAAGUCCCGACUCGUCCACCA
This 387-nucleotide transfer-messenger RNA is filed under the name Clostridia bacterium. It matches the Rfam family "transfer-messenger RNA". From Rfam's summary of the family: Bacterial tmRNA, also known as 10Sa RNA or SsrA, is named for its dual tRNA and mRNA-like properties. Its role is to liberate the mRNA from a stalled ribosome. The record is from RNAcentral. Lineage: Bacteria; Bacillati; Bacillota; Clostridia.